UACGUAGGAGACGAGCGUUGUCCGGAAUUACUGGGCGUAAAGCGCGUGUAGGCGGAUGGGCAAGUCUGCUGUGAAAGCUCCUGGCUUAACCGGGAGUGGUCGGUGGAAACUGCCAAUCUGGAGGACGGUAGAGGUAGGUAGAAUUCCCGGUGUAGCGGUGGAAUGCGCAGAUAUCAGGAGGAACACCGGUGGCGAAGGCGGUUCUCUGGGCCUUACCUGACGCUGAGGAGCGAAAGCGUGGGGAGCAAACAGG
This 253-nucleotide ribosomal RNA is filed under the name uncultured bacterium. RNAcentral describes it as "partial 16S ribosomal RNA". It matches the Rfam family "Bacterial small subunit ribosomal RNA", at positions 524 to 776 of the family's 1533-position model. The record is from RNAcentral.